This 742-nucleotide ribosomal RNA is filed under the name uncultured cyanobacterium. Its description in RNAcentral is "bacterial SSU rRNA". It matches the Rfam family "Bacterial small subunit ribosomal RNA", at positions 8 to 796 of the family's 1533-position model. Lineage: Bacteria; Bacillati; Cyanobacteriota. The record is from RNAcentral.
AGAGUUUGAUCAUGGCUCAGGAUGAACGCUGGCGGUAUGCUUAACACAUGCAAGUCGAACGGGCUCUUCGGAGUUAGUGGCGGACGGGUGAGUAACGCGUGAGAAUCUGGCUUCAGGUUCGGGACAACAGUUGGAAACGGCUGCUAAUACCGGAUGUGCCUUAUGGUGAAAGAUUUAUCACCUGAAGAUGAGCUCGCGUCUGAUUAGCUAGUAGGUGUGGUAAGAGCGCACCUAGGCGACGAUCAGUAGCUGGUCUGAGAGGAUGAUCAGCCACACUGGGACUGAGACACGGCCCAGACUCCUACGGGAGGCAGCAGUGGGGAAUUUUCCGCAAUGGGCGAAAGCCUGACGGAGCAAUACCGCGUGAGGGAGGAAGGCUCUUGGGUUGUAAACCUCUUUUCUCAGGGAAGAAUGAUGACGGUACCUGAGGAAUAAGCAUCGGCUAACUCCGUGCCAGCAGCCGCGGUAAUACGGAGGAUGCAAGCGUUAUCCGGAAUGAUUGGGCGUAAAGCGUCCGCAGGUGGCAAUGUAAGUCUGCUGUCAAAGCGUCUGGCUCAACCAGAUAAAGGCAGUGGAAACUACAUAGCUAGAGUAAGGUAGGGGUAGAGGGAAUUCCUGGUGUAGCGGUGAAAUGCGUAGAGAUCAGGAAGAACACCGGUGGCGAAAGCGCUCUGCUGGACCUUAACUGACACUGAGGGACGAAAGCUAGGGGAGCGAAUGGGAUUAGAUACCCCAGUAGUCC